UGGGGAAUAUUGGACAAUGGGCGCAAGCCUGAUCCAGCCAUGCCGCGUGAGUGAUGAAGGCCCUAGGGUUGUAAAGCUCUUUCACCGGUGAAGAUAAUGACGGUAACCGGAGAAGAAGCCCCGGCUAACUUCGUGCCAGCAGCCGCGGUAAUACGAAGGGGGCUAGCGUUGUUCGGAUUUACUGGGCGUAAAGCGCACGUAGGCGGACUUUUAAGUCAGGGGUGAAAUCCCGGGGCUCAACCCCGGAACUGCCUUUGAUACUGGAAGUCUUGAGUAUGGUAGAGGUGAGUGGAAUUCCGAGUGUAGAGGUGAAAUUCGUAGAUAUUCGGGGGAACACCAGUGGCGAAGGCGGCUCACUGGACCAUUACUGACGCUGAGGUGCGAAAGCGUGGGGAGCAAACAGG
Molecule: ribosomal RNA, 404 nt
Filed under: Brucella melitensis
Lineage: Bacteria; Pseudomonadati; Pseudomonadota; Alphaproteobacteria; Hyphomicrobiales; Brucellaceae
Also listed under: 3 other names
Description: partial 16S ribosomal RNA
Rfam family: Bacterial small subunit ribosomal RNA
Source: RNAcentral